AGUGAACGCUGGCGGUAGGCCUAACACAUGCAAGUCGAACGGCAGCACAGUAAGAGCUUGCUCUUACGGGUGGCGAGUGGCGGACGGGUGAGGAAUACAUCGGAAUCUACUUUUUCGUGGGGGAUAACGUAGGGAAACUUACGCUAAUACCGCAUACGACCUACGGGUGAAAGCAGGGGAUCUUCGGACCUUGCGCGAUUGAAUGAGCCGAUGUCGGAUUAGCUAGUUGGCGGGGUAAAGGCCCACCAAGGCGACGAUCCGUAGCUGGUCUGAGAGGAUGAUCAGCCACACUGGAACUGAGACACGGUCCAGACUCCUACGGGAGGCAGCAGUGGGGAAUAUUAGACAAUGGGCGCAAGCCUGAUCCAGCCAUACCGCGUGGGUGAAGAAGGCCUUCGGGUUGUAAAGCCCUUCUGUUGGGAAAGAAAAGCAGCAGGUUAAUACCCCGCUGUUCUGACGGUACCCAAAGAAUAAGCACCGGCUAACUUCGUG
RNAcentral lists this ribosomal RNA (492 nucleotides) under uncultured bacterium. RNAcentral describes it as "partial 16S ribosomal RNA". It matches the Rfam family "Bacterial small subunit ribosomal RNA", at positions 29 to 507 of the family's 1533-position model. The record is from RNAcentral.